UACCUUCUUCUCAGCACCUCACGGGA
Molecule: non-coding RNA, 26 nt
Filed under: Mus musculus (house mouse)
Lineage: Eukaryota; Metazoa; Chordata; Mammalia; Rodentia; Muridae
Also listed under: 1 other name
Source: RNAcentral